AUUGAACGCUGGCGGCAUGCUUUACUCAUGCAAGUCGAACGGUAACAGGCCGCAAGGUGCUGACGAGUGGCGAACGGGUGAGUAAUGCAUCGGAACGUGCCCAGUCGUGGGGGAUAACUACUCGAAAGAGUAGCUAAUACCGCAUACGAUCUAUGGAAGAAAGCGGGGGACCGUAAGGCCUCGCGCGAUUGGAGCGGCCGAUGUCAGAUUAGGUAGUUGGUGGGGUAAAGGCUCACCAAGCCAACGAUCUGUAGCUGGUCUGAGAGGACGACCAGCCACAAUGGGACUGAGAAAAGGGCCAGACUCCUAAGGGAGGCAGCAGUGGGGAAUUUUGGACAAUGGGCGCAAGCCUGAUCCAGCAAUGCCGCGUGCAGGAAGAAGGCCUUCGGGUUGUAAACUGCUUUUGUACGGAACGAAACGGCUCUGGUUAAUACCCGGGGCUAAUGACGGUACCGUAAGAAUAAGCACCGGCUAACUACGUG
Molecule: ribosomal RNA, 482 nt
Filed under: uncultured bacterium
Lineage: Bacteria
Description: partial 16S ribosomal RNA
Rfam family: Bacterial small subunit ribosomal RNA
Source: RNAcentral